GCUUUACGCACAAUAACUUCUAUUUUCCUCACCCUUCUAGGUGUCUGUUAGCCUAAUCUUUCCUGGUUGUGUGACAAGAGCCUGGUUUUUGCUGAACUAAGGAGAAAAUUCUGCAACAAUAAUAUAAAAACUUCCACUUCAGAAGGAGAUGAAGACUUUGGAAAAGUUUCAUGGGGAAGGAUUUGAGGAUCACACCAUCCUCCCUUGUACAUGAAGAAACCUAGAAGCAGAGAAGCCAUCCACUCUCCCCAUGUCAGUCAGCCAGUGAUCCAUGGCAAAGAUGCAGAAGAUGUGACUGGUUUGCCUCAUGCAAUAUCUAUGAAGUCCAGUAAAAUACCAGACCUGUAAUAGAAAUAUGUGUUGAAUUAAUGAAUGAAUGUUAGGAAACUGUAUAUUGUUUAUUUUAUAAAGUGAAUAGAAUUAACAUAGUCUAAUGUCACAUAUUGUAAAAAUUCCUUCAAGUAUCUUUAAGAAAUGGUAUCUAAUCAAAACUCUACUAAUGCUGCUGUCAGCAUUCUGAGGUCCGGGCAGGAUGGAUAAGAUAAUCAAGAUACCUAUCAUUGGAUAAAGAUGGAACUGGGAUAAGCCUGUUAAACUCAUUUUAUUUAAAAACAUCUACACAUUUUGUUUUCUGUCAUAGAUCCUUAGUUAUUUUAUAAAGUGUUCCUCACAGAGUGAUGUUUUCCUUAAAAAUUAAAAUAUAUGUGGAUAUGAAUAUGAAAAUAAAGUAUAUUUUCCUUACCUAGAUUAUAAAAGAGUCAUUUAAGGUCAUUUAAUGCUUCUCUUCGUGGUUGCUCUUGUCUCACACAGUAUUAUCUUUCUCC
This 824-nucleotide long non-coding RNA is filed under the name Macaca nemestrina (pig-tailed macaque). RNAcentral's name for it is "lncRNA (ENSMNEG00000045670.1)". The record is from RNAcentral. Lineage: Eukaryota; Metazoa; Chordata; Mammalia; Primates; Cercopithecidae.